RNAcentral lists this ribosomal RNA (308 nucleotides) under uncultured bacterium. Its description in RNAcentral is "bacterial SSU rRNA". It matches the Rfam family "Bacterial small subunit ribosomal RNA", at positions 487 to 793 of the family's 1533-position model. The record is from RNAcentral.
UAAGCACCGGCUAACUACGUGCCAGCAGCCGCGGUAAUACGUAGGGUGCAAGCGUUGUCCGGAUUUACUGGGUUUAAAGGGUACGUAGGCGGUUGUGCCAAGUCUGGGGUGAAAGUUUGCAGCUCAACUGUAAAAUUGCCUUGGAUACUGGUCGGCUAGAGUAGUGGAGCGGUGGCUGGAAUUUAUAGUGUAGCGGUGAAAUGCUUAGAUACUAUGAGGAACACCAAUUGCGAAGGCAGGUUACUGGUCACUAACUGACGCUGAGGUACGAAAGUGUGGGGAUCAAACAGGAUUAGAUACCCUGGUAG